Molecule: ribosomal RNA, 867 nt
Filed under: uncultured Alcaligenaceae bacterium
Lineage: Bacteria; Pseudomonadati; Pseudomonadota; Betaproteobacteria; Burkholderiales; Alcaligenaceae
Description: bacterial SSU rRNA
Rfam family: Bacterial small subunit ribosomal RNA
Source: RNAcentral
AUUAGAGUUUGAUCCUGGCUCAGAUUGAACGCUGGCGGCAUGCCUUACACAUGCAAGUCGAACGGUAACGCGGGGGCAACCCUGGCGACGAGUGGCGAACGGGUGAGUAAUACAUCGGAACGUACCCAGUAGUGGGGGAUAGCUCGGCGAAAGCCGGAUUAAUACCGCAUACGACCCACGGGUGAAAGCGGGGGACCGAGGCCUCGCGCUAUUGGAGCGGCCGAUGUCGGAUUAGCUUGUUGGUGAGGUAAAAGCUCACCAAGGCGACGAUCCGUAGCUGGUCUGAGAGGACGACCAGCCACACUGGGACUGAGACACGGCCCAGACUCCUACGGGAGGCAGCAGUGGGGAAUUUUGGACAAUGGGCGAAAGCCUGAUCCAGCCAUGCCGCGUGUGUGAAGAAGGCCUUCGGGUUGUAAAGCACUUUUGUCCGGAACGAAACGGCGGAGACGAAUAAUCUCCGCUAAUGACGGUACCGGAAGAAUAAGCACCGGCUAACUACGUGCCAGCAGCCGCGGUAAUACGUAGGGUGCAAGCGUUAAUCGGAAUUACUGGGCGUAAAGCGUGCGCAGGCGGUUUCGCAAGUCAGAUGUGAAAUCCCCGGGCUCAACCUGGGAACUGCAUUUGAAACUACGAGGCUCGAGUGUGUCAGAGGGGGGUGGAAUUCCACGUGUAGCAGUGAAAUGCGUAGAGAUGUGGAGGAACACCAAUGGCGAAGGCAGCCCCCUGGGAUAACACUGACGCUCAUGCACGAAAGCGUGGGGAGCAAACAGGAUUAGAUACCCUGGUAGUCCACGCCCUAAACGAUGUCAACUAGUUGUCGGUCCUUAAUUGGAUUGGUAACGCAGCUAACGCGUGAAGUUGACC